CCUUUGACCCGGCGAUGUCCGAAUGGGGAAACCCAGUGUGUUUCGACACACUAUCGUUAACUGAAUACAUAGGUUAACGAGGCGAACCGGGGGAACUGAAACAUCUAAGUACCCCGAGGAAAAGAAAUCAACCGAGAUUCCCCCAGUAGCGGCGAGCGAACGGGGAGCAGCCCGGAGUCUGAAUCAGCUUGUGUGUUAGUGGAACGGUCUGGAAAGUCCGACGGUACAGGGUGAUAGUCCCGUACACGAAAACACACUUGCUGUGAACUCGAAGAGUAGG
RNAcentral lists this ribosomal RNA (280 nucleotides) under Enterobacter hormaechei. RNAcentral's name for it is "partial 23S ribosomal RNA". It matches the Rfam family "Bacterial large subunit ribosomal RNA", at positions 96 to 416 of the family's 2925-position model. Lineage: Bacteria; Pseudomonadati; Pseudomonadota; Gammaproteobacteria; Enterobacterales; Enterobacteriaceae. The record is from RNAcentral.